GUGUCAGCCGCCGCGGUAACACGGGGGGAGCAAGCGUUGUUCGGAAUCACUGGGCGUAAAGGGCGUGUAGGCGGUCAGGUAAGUGUGAUGUGAAAUCCCUCGGCUCACCCGAGGACCGGCAUCGCAUACUGCUUGGCUUGAGUACGGGAGAGGAUGUGGGAAUUCCUGGUGUAGCGGUGAAAUGCGUAGAUAUCAGGAGGAACACCGGUGGCGAAGGCGCACAUCUGGCCCGAUACUGACGCUGAGGCGCGAAAGCUAGGGGAGCAAACGGGAUUAGAUACCCCUGUAGUCC
This 292-nucleotide ribosomal RNA is filed under the name uncultured bacterium. RNAcentral's name for it is "partial 16S ribosomal RNA". It matches the Rfam family "Bacterial small subunit ribosomal RNA", at positions 505 to 796 of the family's 1533-position model. The record is from RNAcentral.